Molecule: ribosomal RNA, 332 nt
Filed under: uncultured Pseudomonadota bacterium
Lineage: Bacteria; Pseudomonadati; Pseudomonadota
Description: bacterial SSU rRNA
Rfam family: Bacterial small subunit ribosomal RNA
Source: RNAcentral
GGUGUAGGCGGCUUGGCAAGUCGGGUGUGAAAUCCCUGGGCUCAACCCAGGAACUGCACUCGAAACUGCCUCGCUAGAGUCCCGGAGAGGGUGGCGGAAUUCCCGGUGUAGAGGUGAAAUUCGUAGAUAUCGGGAGGAACACCAGUGGCGAAGGCGGCCACCUGGACGGUGACUGACGCUCAGACCCGAAAGCGUGGGUAGCAAACAGGAUUAGAUACCCUGGUAGUCCACGCCGUAAACUUUGGGUGCUCGACGUAGCGGGUAUUGACCCCUGCUGUGUCCAAGCUAACGCGAGAAGCACCCCGCCUGGGGAGUACGGUCGCAAGACUAAA